Molecule: ribosomal RNA, 855 nt
Filed under: Triticum aestivum (bread wheat)
Lineage: Eukaryota; Viridiplantae; Streptophyta; Magnoliopsida; Poales; Poaceae
Description: partial small subunit ribosomal RNA
Source: RNAcentral
AUGGACCGGUUCCACGACAGGCACCACGUGCGGCUGCGGAGCCGCGUGCAGCGCACCUACCUCCACGCCGCCGACGACGGGGAGAGCGUCACCCUCAGCCAGCUCCGCGCCUCCAUGAACGCGGCGUGGGCGGUGCACAUCUACAACGGCGACGACGGCCCGUACCUGCUCCUCCACAGCGCCGCCUACGGCCGCUACCUCGCCGCCACGGCCACGCCGGCGAGGCUCGGCCACCGCGGCCUCCGCGCGGAGCUGCGCGACUACGACCAGCCGGGCGUGGAGGCCGUCAUGUGGCGGGCCGUGGGGUCGGGCUUCGCGGACGACGUCGUCCUGCUCCGCAACGUCGGCGGCCGCUACCUCCGCGCCAACGGCAGGUACCUCCCCUGGAACUCCUCCGGCGUCAGCGUCGACGACGAGGCCAGCGCCAGCUCCAUGAUGUACUGGGUUGUCGAGCCCAUCCCCGCCAGAGACCGCUGGAACAUGCCCUUCCUUCCUGACCCGCCUCCGCUCUUGAUAUACCUCCUCGGGGUCAUCUACCCGGAGCCGGGACGGCUGAUCCGGUUCGUGCGGGCGCAAGACGACGGGCACUACCCCGAGGCCGAAGGCUGGCAGCAGUUCUGGUUCAGGGGGAGGUCCGCGUUUCGCCUGAGGGACGACCUGGGGUUACUCGUCGGCGCCGGCGUGUACUACCUGAACAUCACCAUGUGCGUCCGAGCGGGCCGCCACGGGAGGCUGACCCCGCUCGUUGUCAACCUGCCCGACGGCGGCUAUGGCGAGACCCUCGAGAUUGUCGUCUUCAUGGCCGACACCCCUGCAUACAAUGAGCUGCGACACCCGGAUGUCGACGCGGAGUAG